RNAcentral lists this ribosomal RNA (247 nucleotides) under uncultured Bdellovibrio sp. Its description in RNAcentral is "partial 16S ribosomal RNA". It matches the Rfam family "Bacterial small subunit ribosomal RNA", at positions 210 to 456 of the family's 1533-position model. Lineage: Bacteria; Pseudomonadati; Bdellovibrionota; Bdellovibrionia; Bdellovibrionales; Pseudobdellovibrionaceae. The record is from RNAcentral.
GUUUUUCGCCCUAAGAUAAGCCCGCGCAAGAUUAGCUAGUUGGUGAGGUAAUGGCUCACCAAGGCAACGAUCUUUAGCUGGUCUGAGAGGAUGAUCAGCCACACUGGAACUGAGACACGGUCCAGACUCCUACGGGAGGCAGCAGUAGGGAAUAUUGCGCAAUGGGGGAAACCCUGACGCAGCGACGCCGCGUGAGUGAUGAAGGCCUUCGGGUCGUAAAGCUCUGUCGUAUGGGAAUAACACAAUG